UUGGCUUAGUUAGUCUGAGACUAUGGAGUCCUGGAGUAAGCUUAAUGAGAACACUUGGUUCAAGCCUCAUUAGACUAAGUGGAAGCACAGGCUGUUGGUCCAAUUGUGCUCAUGAAAACCUGAAAUGGAGUAUGAAACACCAUUGUUGCAGUGAAUUUUGAGACAACACAAUGGCAGAGGCAAAGAGAAUUCGCUCCAAAAAUUAUAGUGAGCAUGAAACAACACUACUAAAACUAAUUGUAUCGAACCAUCCAGUCAUUGAAAGCAAAAUCCCUACUGCUGCUAUUGAACAGAAGAAAAGAAGUGCUUGGACUGCAAUUGGCAAUGCAUUCAAUGCAAAUGAAGAUGUCACCACAAGAACAGUACAACAACUGCAGGUUCUAUGGAAGAACAUUAAACUGGGAUUAAAAAAAGAGAAUGCAGCAAGCAGAAGAGAGCGAUUUAUUACAGGUGGUGGACCACCAAUAAAGGACACAUGAUGAAUUGGGUGACUUGCUGUCUGGUAUAAUAGAGCACCAGCAACCUCUGGAUGGUAUUCCAGACAAUGACCAUUUGGACAGUGAACAUGGAGAACUGAGCACAAAUGAGGAAACCAAUCAAGAGCCAGUUCACAACGAGCUUGAACCCUCCACAUCUGCUAUGGCACCCCUGGGAGAUUAAGCUGCUACCAUCCAACAGAGACCAAAAAAGAUAACUAUGCAUGAAAAGUUAGCCAGAGAAUUUCAUGAGCGUAAAAUUGAAUAUUUAAAAGAAGAACAUGAAAUGAAAAUGAGAAUUCUAGAGGUUGAACUGGAUAUGAAAUUGGGAGAGAGGGCUAUGCUCCAAAAAAUAAUUCUGCAUACCAGUAGCCAUGGUUAAUAUGAGGAAUUGUGAAAAAUAAAAAUAAAUGUAUUGUCAUUUGGCAUGUGAGUGUGAGUGAGUAUUAAUCAUCACAAACAACAUUUUAACCAGCCUUGGUUCACUCGUUUAAUUUUGAUACAUUAUUGUAAUUUUGUACAG
Gadus chalcogrammus (walleye pollock) is the source of this 999-nucleotide long non-coding RNA. RefSeq lists it as uncharacterized. The record is from RefSeq and is a predicted model, not a curated record. Lineage: Eukaryota; Metazoa; Chordata; Actinopteri; Gadiformes; Gadidae. The transcript has 3 exons.